This 434-nucleotide ribosomal RNA is filed under the name Pichia terricola. Its description in RNAcentral is "partial large subunit ribosomal RNA". It matches the Rfam family "Eukaryotic large subunit ribosomal RNA", at positions 191 to 649 of the family's 3401-position model. The record is from RNAcentral. Lineage: Eukaryota; Fungi; Ascomycota; Pichiomycetes; Pichiales; Pichiaceae. RNAcentral also lists the same sequence under 1 other name.
UGGAACAGGGCGCCAUUGAGGGUGAGAGCCCCGUGCGGCACGCGUCUAAGCUUUAAGACCCUUCUGACGAGUCGAGUUGUUUGGGAAUGCAGCUCUAAGUGGGUGGUAAAUUCCAUCUAAGGCUAAAUACUGGCGAGAGACCGAUAGCGAACAAGUACUGUGAAGGAAAGAUGAAAAGCACUUUGAAAAGAGAGUGAAACAGCACGUGAAAUUGUUGAAAGGGAAGGGUAUUGGGCUCGACAUGGGGACUGCGCACCGUUGCUUCUUGUAGGCGGCGCUCUGUGCGGUUUCUGGGCCAGCAUCAGUUUUUGCCGCGGGAGAAUGGGGGGAGGAACGUGGCUCUUCGGAGUGUUAUAGCCUCUCUCAGAUGCCGCGAGCGGGGACUGAGGUCUGCGAUUCGUUCAAGGAUGCUGGCACAACGGCGCAAUACCGCC